CAGUCGCCACGGGAAUACAGAGGGUGCGAGCGUUAAUCGGAUUUACUGGGCGUAAAGCGUGCGUAGGCGGCUUUUUAAGUCGGAUGUGAAAUCCCUGAGCUUAACUUAGGAAUUGCAUUCGAUACUGGGAAGCUAGAGUAUGGGAGAGGAUGGUAGAAUUCCAGGUGUAGCGGUGAAAUGCGUAGAGAUCUGGAGGAAUACCGAUGGCGAAGGCAGCCAUCUGGCCUAAUACUGACGCUGAGGUACGAAAGCAUGGGGAGCAAACAGGAUUAGAUACCCCGGUAGUCCCUGUCUCUUAUCC
Molecule: ribosomal RNA, 301 nt
Filed under: uncultured bacterium
Lineage: Bacteria
Description: partial 16S ribosomal RNA
Rfam family: Bacterial small subunit ribosomal RNA
Source: RNAcentral